Long non-coding RNA from Homo sapiens (human), 949 nucleotides. RefSeq lists it as uncharacterized. Lineage: Eukaryota; Metazoa; Chordata; Mammalia; Primates; Hominidae. The transcript is spliced from 3 exons. The record is from RefSeq and is a predicted model, not a curated record.
CAGCAGCAUCCAGGGCUGAGGUUCUGGGGGUCCGCCAGGGACUGGGACUGCUUCGGCUCAAAGGCAGCCAGGCAGGGGCCGGGAAAAAGGAGCAAGUGGUGCCCUGGGUUACUACAGACUUUGCCCACAUGUCUGCAGGGGCAGGGACCCAGUGCACACCUCCCGGAUGUCCAGGAGCAGACACAGAGUUCAGUGGAUGGGCUCCUCCGACACCCUGAGCUGCUCAGGAAAUAAUAAACACAAGAAAUGGCGAGUCACUCCCAGAAAAAGGUAAAUAAAUGCCAAGGAGAGGAGACGGAUCAGCCCUGGCCGUCACAUGAAAUAACCAGGACAGCACAGAAGAAAGAGCACGCAUUUUUGAGGCAGACAGACCUGAUUUAAAAUCUAGAUUUGGCCACCAACUUGCUGUGUAGCCUUUAGACAAGUUUCUUAAACCUCCACACAUCUGCUUCCCCUGGCUCAGUGAAAUGAGAGUAUCAAUGGUAUUUGCUUCAUGCCUGUUUUGAGAUCCGCAAGGUCUCAUCCCUGAGAAGCAAGCACCAAGAGUGUUCUGGUGAACGCGUUGUCAUCACCGCUGCAGCCACCAGCUCUCAAGCCAGCCCUGGAUCUCCUUGUCCCGGGAACUGCUCCCCCUCUGAAUCUGAGCAGCGGCUUCCGAGGCUCUGACCCCUCUCUCUGCUGCCUGCCUGCUGGCCCUAGGGCCUCAAGCCGCGAUUCCUCAACCCUGCUGAGACCAGCAAGCCAUUGAUCCACACUGCCUUCUCACUCGCCAUCAACCAGCUCAUGUCUCAAGAUUCUUAUUAAUUUGAAUGAAAUUUCCAGUAUUCAACCAUUUUGAUCUACACAAUGGCUAUUUGAUAAGGCUCAAACCAAUCAUAAAAAUACAGCAAUUUGUCGUAGUGGCUCACGCCUGGAAUCCCAGCACUUUGGGAGGCCGAAGCAGGUGGAU